GAUCAUGGCUCAGGAUGAACGCUAGCUACAGGCUUAAACACAUGCAAGUCGAGGGGCAGCAUGAACUUAGCUUGCUAAGUUUGAUGGCGACCGGCGCACGGGUGAGUAACGCGUAUCCAACCUGCCCUUUACGCGGGGAUAGCCUUCUGAAAGGAAGUUUAAUACCCGAUGAAUUCGUUUAGUCGCAUGGCUUGAUGAAGAAAGAUUUAUCGGUGUACGAUGGGGAUGCGUUUCAUUAGGUAGUAGGCGGGGUAACGGCCCACCUAGUCUUCGAUGGAUAGGGGUUCUGAGAGGAAGGUCCCCCACAUUGGAACUGAGACACGGUCCAAACUCCUACGGGAGGCAGCAGUGAGGAAUAUUGGUCAAUGGGCGAGAGCCUGAACCAGCCAAGUAGCGUGAAGGACUAAGGCCCUACGGGUCGUAAACUUCUUUAGACGCAGAGCAAUAAGGUCCACGCGUGGACCGAUGAGAGUAUGCGUAGAAUAAGCAUCGGCUAACUCCGUG
Molecule: ribosomal RNA, 504 nt
Filed under: uncultured bacterium
Lineage: Bacteria
Description: bacterial SSU rRNA
Rfam family: Bacterial small subunit ribosomal RNA
Source: RNAcentral